Molecule: long non-coding RNA, 350 nt
Organism: Sapajus apella (tufted capuchin)
Lineage: Eukaryota; Metazoa; Chordata; Mammalia; Primates; Cebidae
Exons: 3
Source: RefSeq, a predicted model, not a curated record
CCAUCACCCCCAUUAGGCAUUUAAUACUGGCUCUCACUGAUGGUCUUUCCUGUAACUGAUUCAUUUCCACCCACAGACACAAAGUUAGGAAACCUCCAUUUCCAUCCUCUGAAGUGCCCCCACUGCCUUCCCUCCCCUUGCAGGAGCCUAGCCUUUGAUCUUAGAAGAAGACCCCUACCGAUGCCCCAGUCCUCUCCUAAGAAUAAACUUUCUUUCUGGAGUGUUUCCUUUGGGGAGAAUUCUGGACCAACCCCCUCCAUCUGAGAUGCUCCACUAGCUGGUUGUUUUGCCCAUUAGUUGACACAGUUUCUUCAUUGUGUCAAUGGUCUUUACCAUUUGGUAUUCAAUUA